Molecule: ribosomal RNA, 788 nt
Filed under: uncultured Bacteroidota bacterium
Lineage: Bacteria; Pseudomonadati; Bacteroidota
Description: bacterial SSU rRNA
Rfam family: Bacterial small subunit ribosomal RNA
Source: RNAcentral
CAUGCAAGUCGAGGGGUAACAGGGAUUGCUUGCAAUCCGCUGACGACCGGCGCACGGGUGCGUAACGCGUAUGCAACCUACCUUCUACAGGGGGAUAGUCAAUAGAAAUGUUGAAUAAUACCCCAUACGAUCUUUGAAUAGCAUUAUUUAAAGAAGAAAGUUCCGGCGGUAGAAGAUGGGCAUGCGUCCUAUUAGUUAGUUGGAGAGGUAACGGCUCCCCAAGACAUCGAUAGGUAGGGGUCCUGAGAGGGAGACCCCCCACACUGGUACUGAGACACGGACCAGACUCCUACGGGAGGCAGCAGUGAGGAAUAUUGGACAAUGGAGGCAACUCUGAUCCAGCCAUGCCGCGUGCAGGAAGACUGCCCUAUGGGUUGUAAACUGCUUUUAUACAGGAAGAAAUGUACCUACGUGUAGGUAUUUGACGGUACUGUACGAAUAAGGAUCGGCUAACUCCGUGCCAGCAGCCGCGGUAAUACGGAGGAUCCAAGCGUUAUCCGGAAUCAUUGGGUUUAAAGGGUCCGUAGGCGGUCUUUUAAGUCAGAGGUGAAAUCCUACAGCUCAACUGUAGAAUUGCCUUUGAUACUGAAGGACUUGAGUUAUUGUGAAGUAGUUAGAAUGUGUGGUGUAGCGGUGAAAUGCAUAGAAAUCACACAGAAUACCGAUUGCGAAGGCAGAUUACUAACAAUAUACUGACGCUGAGGGACGAAAGCGUGGGUAGCGAACAGGAUUAGAUACCCUGGUAGUCCACGCCGUAAACGAUGGAUACUAGCUGUUCGACCAACAUU